Molecule: ribosomal RNA, 253 nt
Filed under: uncultured bacterium
Lineage: Bacteria
Description: partial 16S ribosomal RNA
Rfam family: Bacterial small subunit ribosomal RNA
Source: RNAcentral
UACGUAGGGUGCAAGCGUUGUCCGGAAUUAUUGGGCGUAAAGAGCUCGUAGGCGGUUUGUCGCGUCUGCUGUGAAAACUCGGGGCUUAACUCCGGGCCUGCAGUGGGUACGGGCAGACUAGAGUGCGGUAGGGGAGACUGGAAUUCCUGGUGUAGCGGUGGAAUGCGCAGAUAUCAGGAGGAACACCGGUGGCGAAGGCGGAUCUCUGGGCCAUAACUGACGCUGAGGAGCGAAAGCAUGGGGAGCGAACAGG